AGUGAACGCUGGCGGUAGGCCUAACACAUGCAAGUCGAACGGCAGCACAGUAAGAGCUUGCUCUUACGGGUGGCGAGUGGCGGACGGGUGAGGAAUACAUCGGAAUCUACUUUUUCGUGGGGGAUAACGUAGGGAAACUUACGCUAAUACCGCAUACGACCUACGGGUGAAAGCAGUGGAUCUUCGGACCUUGCGCGAUUGAAUGAGCUGAUGUCGGAUUAGCUAGUUGGCGGGGUAAAGGCCCACCAAGGCGACGAUCCGUAGCUGGUCUGAGAGGAUGAUCAGCCACACUGGAACUGAGACACGGUCCAGACUCCUACGGGAGGCAGCAGUGGGGAAUAUUGGACAAUGGGCGCAAGCCUGAUCCAGCCAUACCGCGUGGGUGAAGAAGGCCUUCGGGUUGUAAAGCCCUUUUGUUGGGAAAGAAAAGAAGCAGGUGAAUACCUGGAUGUUCUGACGGUACCCAAAGAAUAAGCACCGGCUAACUUCGUG
RNAcentral lists this ribosomal RNA (492 nucleotides) under uncultured bacterium. RNAcentral's name for it is "partial 16S ribosomal RNA". It matches the Rfam family "Bacterial small subunit ribosomal RNA", at positions 29 to 507 of the family's 1533-position model. The record is from RNAcentral.